GCGCCCUUAGCUCAGCUGGAUAGAGCACGUCCCUUCUAAGGAUGUGGUCGUAGGUUCGAAUCCUACAGGGCGUACCA
RNAcentral lists this transfer RNA (77 nucleotides) under Vibrio algicola. RNAcentral describes it as "Vibrio sp. SM1977 tRNA-Arg". It matches the Rfam family "tRNA". From Rfam's summary of the family: Transfer RNA (tRNA) molecules are approximately 80 nucleotides in length. Their secondary structure includes four short double-helical elements and three loops (D, anti-codon, and T loops). Further hydrogen bonds mediate the characteristic L-shaped molecular structure. tRNAs have two regions of fundamental functional importance: the anti-codon, which is responsible for specific mRNA codon recognition, and the 3' end, to which the tRNAs corresponding amino acid is attached (by aminoacyl-tRNA synthetases). tRNAs cope with the degeneracy of the genetic code in two manners: having more than one tRNA (with a specific anti-codon) for a particular amino acid; and 'wobble' base-pairing, i.e. permitting non-standard base-pairing at the 3rd anti-codon position. Lineage: Bacteria; Pseudomonadati; Pseudomonadota; Gammaproteobacteria; Vibrionales; Vibrionaceae. The record is from RNAcentral.